GUAAGCUGCAGCUUGCUCUGGGCGUCGGACGAUGAACCGGUGCUUGUUCGGGGAUUAGUGGCGAACGGGUGAGUAACACGUGAGUAACCUGCCCUUGACUCUGGGAUAAGCCUGGGAAACUGGGUCUAAUACCGGAUAUGACUGACCGUCGCAUGGUGGUUGGUGGAAAGCUUUUGUGGUUUUGGAUGGACUCGCGGCCUAUCAGCUUGUUGGUGAGGUAAUGGCUUACCAAGGCGACGACGGGUAGCCGGCCUGAGAGGGUGACCGGCCACACUGGGACUGAGACACGGCCCAGACUCCUACGGGAGGCAGCAGUGGGGAAUAUUGCACAAUGGGCGCAAGCCUGAUGCAGCGACGCCGCGUGAGGGAUGACGGCCUUCGGGUUGUAAACCUCUUUCAGUAGGGAAGAAGCCGUAAGGUGACGGUACCUGCAGAAGAAGCGCGGCUAACUACGUGCCAGCAGCCGCGGUAAUACGUAGGGCGCAAGCGUUAUCCGGAAUUAUUGGGCGUAAAGAGCUCGUAGGCGGUUUGUCGCGUCUGCCGUGAAAGUCCGGGGCUCAACUCCGGAUCUGCGGUGGGUACGGGCAGACUAGAGUGAUGUAGGGGAGACUGGAAUUCCUGGUGUAGCGGUGAAAUGCGCAGAUAUCAGGAGGAACACCGAUGGCGAAGGCAGGUCUCUGGGCAUUAACUGACGCUGAGGAGCGAAAGCAUGGGGAGCGAACAGGAUUAGAUACCCUGGUAGUCCAUGCCGUAAACGUUGGGCACUAGGUGUGGGGGACAUUCCACGUUUUCCGCGCCGUAGCUAACGCAUUAAGUGCCCCGCCUGGGGAGUACGGCCGCAAGGCUAAAACUCAAAGGAAUUGACGGGGGCCCGCACAAGCGGCGGAGCAUGCGGAUUAAUUCGAUGCAACGCGAAGAACCUUACCAAGGCUUGACAUGAACCGGACCGCUGCAGAAAUGUGGUUUCCCCUUUGGGGCUGGUUUACAGGUGGUGCAUGGUUGUCGUCAGCUCGUGUCGUGAGAUGUUGGGUUAAGUCCCGCAACGAGCGCAACCCUCGUUCUAUGUUGCCAGCACGUGAUGGUGGGGACUCAUAGGAGACUGCCGGGGUCAACUCGGAGGAAGGUGGGGACGACGUCAAAUCAUCAUGCCCCUUAUGUCUUGGGCUUCACGCAUGCUACAAUGGCCGGUACAAAGGGUUGCGAUACUGUGAGGUGGAGCUAAUCCCAAAAAGCCGGUCUCAGUUCGGAUUGGGGUCUGCAACUCGACCCCAUGAAGUCGGAGUCGCUAGUAAUCGCAGAUCAGCAACGCUGCGGUGAAUACGUUCCCGGGCCUUGUACACACUUCCCGUCA
RNAcentral lists this ribosomal RNA (1351 nucleotides) under Arthrobacter pascens. RNAcentral describes it as "bacterial SSU rRNA". It matches the Rfam family "Bacterial small subunit ribosomal RNA", at positions 31 to 1399 of the family's 1533-position model. The record is from RNAcentral. Lineage: Bacteria; Bacillati; Actinomycetota; Actinomycetes; Micrococcales; Micrococcaceae.